CAAGUCGAACGGGAGAAUUGCUAGCUUGCUAAUAAUUCUCUAGUGGCGCACGGGUGAGUAACACGUGAGUAACCUGCCCCCAAGAGUGGGAUAGCCCCGGGAAACUGGGAUUAAUACCGCAUAAAAUCGCAAGAUUAAAGCAGCAAUGCGCUUGGGGAUGGGCUCGCGUCCUAUUAGUUAGUUGGUGAGGUAACGGCUCACCAAGGCGAUGACGGGUAGCCGGUCUGAGAGGAUGUCCGGCCACACUGGAACUGAGACACGGUCCAGACACCUACGGGUGGCAGCAGUCGAGAAUCAUUCACAAUGGGGGAAACCCUGAUGGUGCGACGCCGCGUGGGGGAAUGAAGGUCUUCGGAUUGUAAACCCCUGUCAUGUGGGAGCAAAUUAAAAAGAUAGUACCACAAGAGGAAGAGACGGCUAACUCUGUGCCAGCAGCCGCGGUAAUACAGAGGUCUCAAGCGUUGUUCGGAAUCACUGGGCGUAAAGCGUGCGUAGGCGGUUUCGUAAGUCGUGUGUGAAAGGCGGGGGCUCAACCCCCGGACUGCACAUGAUACUGCGAGACUAGAGUAAUGGAGGGGGAACCGGAAUUCUCGGUGUAGCAGUGAAAUGCGUAGAUAUCGAGAGGAACACUCGUGGCGAAGGCGGGUUCCUGGACAUUAACUGACGCUGAGGCACGAAGGCCAGGGGAGCGAAAGGGAUUAGAUACCCCUGUAGUCCUGG
Molecule: ribosomal RNA, 720 nt
Filed under: uncultured bacterium
Lineage: Bacteria
Description: bacterial SSU rRNA
Rfam family: Bacterial small subunit ribosomal RNA
Source: RNAcentral